RNAcentral lists this ribosomal RNA (439 nucleotides) under uncultured bacterium. Its description in RNAcentral is "partial 16S ribosomal RNA". It matches the Rfam family "Bacterial small subunit ribosomal RNA", at positions 339 to 795 of the family's 1533-position model. The record is from RNAcentral.
CUACGGGAUGCUCCAGUGAGGAAUAUUGGACAAUGGGGGCAACCCUGAUCCAGCCAUGCCGCGUGAGUGAUGACGGCCUUAGGGUUGUAAAGCUCUUUCAGUAGUGAAGAUAAUGACGGUAACUACAGAAGAAGCCCCGGCUAACUUCGUGCCAGCAGCCGCGGUAAUACGAAGGGGGCUAGCGUUGUUCGGAAUCACUGGGCGUAAAGCGCGCGUAGGCGGACUUUUAAGUCAGGGGUGAAAUCCCGAGGCUCAACCUCGGAACUGCCUUUGAUACUGGAAGUCUUGAGUUCGAGAGAGGUGAGUGGAAUACCGAGUGUAGAGGUGAAAUUCGUAGAUAUUCGGUGGAACACCAGUGGCGAAGGCGGCUCACUGGCUCGAUACUGACGCUGAGGUGCGAAAGCGUGGGGAGCAAACAGGAUUAGAUACCCUUGUAGUC